CAAAAGAAACAGAAAGAACAAAACCCAGAAAGAUGACACCAACAGGCAUCCUUUAGUGUACAAUCCUGAGUAUCAGGUCCAGGCAUGAGCUUAUGUCAUCUUUUGAGUUGCCCUAUGAAGAAGAUACUGGAAUUACCCCUGCUUCUCAGUUGAAUAAAUGGAGACUCUGAGAGACUGAGCAACUGGCCUUGGGGCCACACAGCUAGCAAUUUACAGAGCUGAGAGACUGUACCCUUGAUCUUCAAAAUUCUGGUCAGCUCAUUUCCUGAGCAGCAGGAGAGGUUCAAAAGCUGAGUUAGGUCAUAAAUACACGGGCAUUUUUAAAUUAAAUUUCCAUUUUGAUCAAUAGUUUGUUAUGAGACUGUAAAAGUCAAAUCGUUGCAUGAAACCAAUAAUGAAAAGCAACAGCCCCACCUCUCCUUGGAGGAGAUGACUUCAAGUCCUCUCAUCGUUCCUCUGACAUUUCCUUUCAUAUUUCUAAAUGCCAUCUUUUUCUGAUUUCGCAUACAAUUUGUUGGCCUCCUCUUAUGGAAGACUGCUAGUUCCACAGAAGCCACCACACAGAGACACACACUUCCCCUCCCUACGUAACCCACUGCAGAUGCUAACUCAGAGUCCACUGCUACCUGAUCACCUACACGUUACUGACAGCUAAACAAAGUCUCUUGGUUUCCUUUCCUAGUGACCAAAGCAACUUAAGGGAGGAAGGUUUGUCUUGACUCACAGUUCAAGGGUAUCACCACCACAGUGAGGUGGUCACCCACAGUCAGGAAGCAAAGAAAUGAAUGCUUGGUGUUCAACUCCCUUUCUCCGGGUCUAAAGUCCAGGAUCUCAGCCCAGGGAAUGGUACCACCCACAUUUAGGCCAGAUUUUCCCACCUCAACUAGCCUAACCAAGAAAAUCCCUUAUAACAUGCCCAGAAGUUAAUGUAGAUAACAUUUCACAGGUGUGCACAGAGGCUUAUGUCCUGGGCAAUUACAGACCUUGUCAAGUCGAUAACAUAAAUAUUAACCAUUGUAUGAGGGGUUACAGGUGUAGUUGCUGAACUGUGCAGCUUUUUGUUUUCCCUGGUGUUGGUAAUUGUCUCUGUUUUUUACUUACAUUUUAAAGCCACACUACUAAUUCUUCCCACAAACAUGUACACAGUUUUAAAAUCUCUAGUAAUGCAAUCAGAUUCUUUUGGUAACCUAUCACUUCUAUUUUUUUUUCUUAACACCCUUUGUCCUCUUGCCCUGACCCAAACCAAACACCCUCCUAGAUGUCUGCAUGGUAGAUAUUCUGAAAUUUCCCUCCACCAUUAUCCCAGGAAACCCCUUAACCUCUCUUCCACACUUCUUCUUUGGUGCUUGGAUCCGAAGCCACCCUCCUGCUUGGUUUACUGUCUUCUUUUAGUUAUAAUAUACAUGCCAGUAGCUUCCUUGAAAACUGCAUAUGGGAAGUUCAGUUUUUGGAUCCUUGAUUGACAGUUUGGCUGGCUGUAUAAAUCUCGUUUGGAAAUCAUCUCCACUCCACAUUCUGAAGGCAGUUCUUAUUGGCAUGUGGCAUUCUGGGUUGAUGAGAAGUAGCCCAGUGCCAUCCCAAGUCUUGAUCCUCUGUUGCAUGACUUUUUUGGUUUCUCAAGGCUUCUGGGAUCUUCUCUUUAUCUCUCACAAUCUAAAAAAA
Molecule: long non-coding RNA, 1662 nt
Filed under: Cricetulus griseus (Chinese hamster)
Lineage: Eukaryota; Metazoa; Chordata; Mammalia; Rodentia; Cricetidae
Description: lncRNA (ENSCGRG00015041337.1)
Source: RNAcentral